This is a long non-coding RNA of Canis lupus familiaris (dog), 1256 nucleotides long. RefSeq lists it as uncharacterized. The record is from RefSeq and is a predicted model, not a curated record. The transcript is spliced from 3 exons. Lineage: Eukaryota; Metazoa; Chordata; Mammalia; Carnivora; Canidae.
CAGCCUCCCUUCGACGGCAGGCACCGCGGCUCAGGUUGUAGCUUUGCGUCAUCUCGGAGGCAUAAGGGAGGUCUGCAGAUGCGGGCAGUAUCACCUCGUGUUUUCAAAUAAUAUGCUUGAAGCCACUUAACUGAAACAAAGCCCCAGGACUCAUUCUGCGUGGCCCAAAUGACAACCAAGUCCCAUAAAGGUUUAUCAAGCUCUGGGCUGGUGAAUGCCUUCAAUCACAGAGGCUUACAAGAACAACUUCAUCUUGAAAUGGGCAUUAAUACGUGUCACUGCCAGGUGGGGAAAAAUUGCAGUGUUAACCAACAACAAAAAGGAAAAACUAGCUGCUGACCAUCCAUGCCCUCCCACCCCCCAGCCCACCCUUAACCCUAGUAAACCCAAACACAGAUAGGUCUGGCUUGUUCCUGCUGGAGAAGGGGGGGUGGGGGGAGGCAGACUUGGCUUUUAUUAAGGCCACAGUGUGAGAGCUUCUGUGAGCAAUAUUGAAAAGGCUGCACUUGUUUCCAAGGAAUUUGAUUGUUUAUACUUCAUAAUGAUAAGCUUCAAAAGUGACCUGGAAAAAGAAGGCUGCUGGCUUUUCACUCCGCCAGGAGGGGCUGUGCUUUGUUCUCUGAGAGGCACUCUGACCAAAUUAACAGAGUGUAUCUCUCGUGACCUUUUCCACUUAGCAUUGUUUCUUAGGGAAACAGUGACUCCAGGGCCCCUCCAGGCUGUGUGCGACAACGCCCCACCGCACAGAAGGGCCUUGGGCCUCUGCCGUCACUGAGUUAUUGAAUCAGUAACGAAACACAUCAGCCUUGGCAAAUAAAACCUGGCAAGAAGCGUUUUAAAACAAAUGCUGCUGGUUUCACCUGAGCCACUGAAACAAAUUAUGGGGCCCAAGGUGAAACUUGGCAGCGUCUGUGAGCUCUGAAGUGGCCAGCACCAGGGCCCUCGCUUGCCAAAUGCGCAGAUCGCAGAGGAAUGAAAAUUAGCAGUGUUGCCCCCCACACCCCCUGCCCUUAGAAGCACUUCUGAUAGAACUGUUCAGUGAGAUUUAGUCAUCAAAAUGAGCAAAAAAUAUAAUGAGGUCUGAGUAACAUAUGAUGAGAUACUUGUUUGAGAAUCCAAUGGUCUGAUCCCAAAUCAGAAAAAUGGUUGAAGGACAACACCCCCCACCCCAAACACACACACACACACACACACACACACACACACAGAUCCCCUGGAAACAAAAAUGCACUACAUGUCCUAGAUAUCCAGUUAAA